UGGGGGAUUUUGCACAAUGGGCGCAAGCCUGAUGCAGCGACGCCGCGUGAGGGAUGAAGGCCUUCGGGUUGUAAACCUCUUUCGCUGGGUUGAAAGGCCAUGCUUUGGGUGUGGUUGAUUUGAACUGGUAAAGAAGUACCGGCUAACUACGUGCCAGCAGCCGCGGUAAUACGUAGGGUACUAGCGUUGUCCGGAUUUAUUGGGCGUAAAGGGCUUGUAGGUGGUUUGUCGCGUCUGUCGUGAAAUCCUGUGGCUUAACCAUGGGCUUGCGGUGGGUACGGGCAGGCUUGAGUGCGGUAGGGGAGACUGGAAUUCCUGGUGUAGCGGUGGAAUGCGCAGAUAUCAGGAGGAACACCGGUGGAGAAGGCGGGUCUCUGGGCCGUUACUGACACUGAGGAGAGAAAGCGUGGGGAGCGAACAGG
RNAcentral lists this ribosomal RNA (422 nucleotides) under Fusobacteriota bacterium. Its description in RNAcentral is "Fusobacteria bacterium partial 16S ribosomal RNA". It matches the Rfam family "Bacterial small subunit ribosomal RNA", at positions 355 to 776 of the family's 1533-position model. The record is from RNAcentral. Lineage: Bacteria; Fusobacteriati; Fusobacteriota.